This 468-nucleotide ribosomal RNA is filed under the name uncultured bacterium. Its description in RNAcentral is "partial 16S ribosomal RNA". It matches the Rfam family "Bacterial small subunit ribosomal RNA", at positions 28 to 507 of the family's 1533-position model. The record is from RNAcentral.
GACGAACGCUGGCGGCGUGCUUAACACAUGCAAGUCGAACGGAAAGGCCCUGCUUUUGUGGGGUGCUCGAGUGGCGAACGGGUGAGUAACACGUGAGUAACCUGCCCUUGACUUUGGGAUAACUUCAGGAAACUGGGGCUAAUACCGGAUAGGAGCUCCUGCUGCAUGGAGGGGGUUGGAAAGUUUCGGCGGUUGGGGAUGGACUCGCGGCUUAUCAGCUUGUUGGUGGGGUAGUGGCUUACCAAGGCUUUGACGGGUAGCCGGCCUGAGAGGGUGACCGGCCACAUUGGGACUGAGAUACGGCCCAGACUCCUACGGGAGGCAGCAGUGGGGAAUAUUGCACAGUGGGCGGAAGCCUGAUGCAGCAACGCCGCGUGCGGGAUGACGGCCUUCGGGUUGUAAACCGCUUUCGCCUGUGACGAAGCGUGAGUGACGGUAAUGGGUAAAGAAGCACCGGCUAACUACGUG